RNAcentral lists this small RNA (444 nucleotides) under Histoplasma capsulatum var. duboisii H88. RNAcentral describes it as "Histoplasma capsulatum H88 hypothetical RNA". The record is from RNAcentral. Lineage: Eukaryota; Fungi; Ascomycota; Eurotiomycetes; Onygenales; Ajellomycetaceae.
ACAUGCGAUCAUAAACCGGCGAAUAACAUUUCACUUAGAUUUCUCGUAGUGUAUUGGGCACAGUCUUAACUCCAAUUCAAAUUUUGCCGCUGCCACAAAGCAAGCGAGAGGCAGACAUAUUCAGUCCUCCGUGAGAAGAGAGAUACGGAUAGGAGGGGCAAGCUAUGACAGCACGAAGUAAUGACAAUACGAAACAUGAACAAAAAGAAGGAAAGAGGGAAAGAAGGACUACGCGCCCCAACAUAGUUAACCAACUAGUUAUAUGUAAAAACUAACUCAGCCAAACACGAAUUACAUCAAGAUAAAAGGUUGCUAACUGCCCAUAGAACGAACGGUAUAUCCCAAAAACUGCAAUAGAAGAAAUGAGCAUGGUAAGGGGGAGACGGUAACAAAAACAUGCAAUGCUGCACCAAAACGUGUGAAGAAAAAAAGGCAAGAAAAGCA